UUUGAACAUGUCUAUCUGCUGCUGCC
RNAcentral lists this non-coding RNA (26 nucleotides) under Mus musculus (house mouse). The record is from RNAcentral. Lineage: Eukaryota; Metazoa; Chordata; Mammalia; Rodentia; Muridae.